RNAcentral lists this ribosomal RNA (465 nucleotides) under uncultured bacterium. RNAcentral describes it as "bacterial SSU rRNA". It matches the Rfam family "Bacterial small subunit ribosomal RNA", at positions 32 to 507 of the family's 1533-position model. The record is from RNAcentral.
AAUCAACGCUGGCGGCGUGCCUCAGACAUGCAAGUCGAACGAUUAAAGCUCUCUUCGGAGAGUGUAUAGAGUGGCGCACGGGUGAGUAACACGUAAGUAAUCUACCCUCGAGUGGGGAAUAACAACCGGAAACGGUUGCUAAUACCGCAUAAUGCAGCGGCACCGCAAGGUGACAGUUGUUAAAGAUUUAUCGCUUGAGGAGGAGCUUGCGGCAGAUUAGCUAGUUGGUAGGGUAACGGCUUACCAAGGCUACGAUCUGUAACCGGUCUAAGAGGACGGUCGGUCACACUGACACUGAAUAACGGGUCAGACUCCUACGGGAGGCAGCAGUCGGGAAUUUUGGGCAAUGGGCGAAGGCCUGACCCAGCAACGCCGCGUGAAGGAUGAAGUAUUUCGGUAUGUAAACUUCGAAAGAAUAGGAAGAAUUAAUGACGGUACUAUUUAUAAGGUCCGGCUAACUACGUG